AGAGAGAGACAUGCGCGCAUAUCAAUAAGCGGAGGAAAAGAAACUAACAAGGAUUCCCCUAGUAACGGCGAGUGAAGCGGGAAGAGCUCAAAUUUGAAAUCUUAAAGGGUUUCCCUUUACGAAUUGUAGUUUAAAGAAGUGUUUUCUGUUGAGGUUUUGGUAAAAGUUCUUUGGAAUAGGACAUCAUAGAGGGUGAGAAUCCCGUAUUUGACCUUUACUUUCAACUUUGUGAUACACUUUCAAAGAGUCGGAUUGUUUGGGAAUGCAGUCCAAAAUGGGUGGUAAAUUUCAUCUAAAGCUAAAUAUUGGCGAGAGACUGAUAGCGAACAAGUACCGUGAGGGAAAGAUGAAAAGAACUUUGAAAAGAGAGUUAAACAGUACGUGAAAUUGUCAAAAGGGAAGCGUUUGACACCAGUGUUGUUUUUCUGAAAAUCAAUUAAAGAACUGUUUAUGCUAAGUUGUUUAGACUUUAUCAGCUAACUGUUUAGUUUUGAGCUUUCCUUUAAUGCACUUUUCAGUUAACAAGUCAACAUCAAUUUCUUUUGCUGUAAAAAAGCUUGAGGAAGGUGGCUUGAGAUUCGUCUUAAGUGUUUAUAGCCUCUUGCCUAUGCAGUCGGAAAGAUUGAGGUCUGCAGCGUAGAUCCUUCGGGGCUAAAUGCAUUUGUGCUAAGUUAUAGCAUUUUAUAGACAACUUGUUGACUAUGAUUUGUCUUGUAGCUUACUCGCUUAUGUUAUUUUACCUACGCUUAGGAUGUUGAGCGCAUGUCUCUCUCU
Molecule: ribosomal RNA, 774 nt
Filed under: uncultured Neocallimastigales
Lineage: Eukaryota; Fungi; Neocallimastigomycota; Neocallimastigomycetes; Neocallimastigales
Description: partial large subunit ribosomal RNA
Rfam family: Eukaryotic large subunit ribosomal RNA
Source: RNAcentral